GCACGAUGGGCUGAAAGUGUAGCAAGGAGAAUUAACUUCAACGGAGGACCCUCAGUACGGUGAACACAACUACAGAUAGACUCAAUUUCCAAAAACCCUCUGCCUAGGAAGUUGUCAGGCUCUUGUAGGCUACAAAAUAGGCAGAGCAGUACAUAUCCUUCAUUGCAGUGGAGAACUGUGGCUUGGAGUGGAAUGGGAAGUACACAAAAUACUCAAGCAAAUUCCAUUCCAAAAAGUUUGAAUGCUCAAUUGUCCUUUGUUUAUUGUGACACAUUUCCUUUUUCCCCCCACUAGCUGAUGCGGCCAUCUGCAUUCUGAAAUGGGCCCAAUGAAGAACACCACAAUAAUAGAAAUACCGACCUGUCCCAUUUGAACACAGUACAAAAAAUAUUGACCAUCAAUUGUGUUUUUUGGAUUACAUUCCAAGCAAGGAUUUUCUGCAUUAUUAUCACACAUACUGUCAGUGGUAACUGUGAUUUUUACCAUUCAUUUGCUGUUCUUUUACCCUCACCCCCCACCACCCAGACUGCAAAAUCCACCUGUGUGAGGUGGCUCAUGGUCCCACUGGUUGGGUCGGUUUCUGUCAAGCUGCUUCAAGCCUGUUUGAUGGCUUUUGGUGCUCAAUAAACUCAAAAGGAACAUUUAUUUGCA
Non-coding RNA from Doryrhamphus excisus (bluestripe pipefish), 651 nucleotides. The record is from RefSeq and is a predicted model, not a curated record. Lineage: Eukaryota; Metazoa; Chordata; Actinopteri; Syngnathiformes; Syngnathidae.